ACUCCCCUGCUGCUGCAGCUAUCUCUUUGUCCCUCUGCAUCUUGGUGUGGCCUGCUUAGCAUCUAGACACCGAAGCUGUUUAACUUCCUAAAGCUCAGUCCCUUCCAGGAUGCAAGUGGUCAUAAAAAGAGAACUGAAAUAUAGGCAUACAUCGGAGAUAUUAAGUGUUCUGUUCCAGGCCACCACAAUAAACCAACCUACAGGACGGUGGUUCUAUAAGUGAGGAAACUGAAGUUCAGCAAGAGUGAGAGAGCUGUCCAAGGUUACAGACCCAGUAAGUGAUGAGUCAGGAUCUGAUCCAAAGUCUGACUCUAAAGCGUAAGGUCUUUAUUUUUCUAAAUUUAUGUGUU
Long non-coding RNA from Pteropus alecto (black flying fox), 350 nucleotides. RefSeq lists it as uncharacterized. The record is from RefSeq and is a predicted model, not a curated record. The transcript has 3 exons. NCBI's taxonomy places the organism in Eukaryota, Metazoa, Chordata, Mammalia, Chiroptera, Pteropodidae.